Molecule: ribosomal RNA, 497 nt
Filed under: Yarrowia lipolytica
Lineage: Eukaryota; Fungi; Ascomycota; Dipodascomycetes; Dipodascales
Description: LSU rRNA
Rfam family: Eukaryotic large subunit ribosomal RNA
Source: RNAcentral
GCCUCAGUACGGCGAGUGAGCGGCAAAAGCUCAAAUUUGAAACCCUCGGGAUUGUAAUUUGAAGAUUUGGCAUUGGAGAAAGCUAACCCAAGUUGCUUGGAAUAGUACGUCAUAGAGGGUGACAACCCCGUCUGGCUAACCGUUCUCCAUGUAUUGCCUUAUCAAAGAGUCGAGUUGUUUGGGAAUGCAGCUCAAAGUGGGUGGUAAACUCCAUCUAAAGCUAAAUACUGGUGAGAGACCGAUAGCGAACAAGUACUGUGAAGGAAAGGUGAAAAGAACUUUGAAAAGAGAGUGAAAUAGUAUGUGAAAUUGUUGAUAGGGAAGGAAAUGAGUGGAGAGUGGCCGAGGUUUCAGCCGCCCCUCGUGGGCGGUGUACUGCCGACGCCGAGUCAUCGAUAGCGAGACGAGGGUUACAAAUGGGAGCGCCUUCGGGCGUUCUCCCCUAACCCUCCACACUGCCACCGACGACAUAAUCCACCCAUUUCACCCGUCUUGAA